UUGCUUUUUGAUAUAUCAUAAAAAGUAAUUCCUGCCCAGUGAAUAUAUUCAACGGCCGCGGUAUCCUAACCGUGCAAAGGUAGCAUAAUCAUUUGCCCAUUAAUUGUGGGCUAGAAUGAACGGACCAACGAAAUAAAACCUGUCUCUGUAAACUCCAUAUAAAUUAAAAUCUAACUGAAGAUUGUUAGAUACUACUGAAGGACAAGAAGACCCUAUAGAGCUUAAUUUUAAAUUGUACUAAAGUCAAUCUAAAAAUUCGGUUGGGGCGACCAGGGAAAUUAAUUAUCAUCCCUUAAAUCAAAGAUUUAUUAAUCUAUAAAUAAGACCCUACUAUGAUCUAAAGAACAAGCUACCUUAGGGAUAACAGGCUAAUCCUACUAAAGAGUCCUUAUCUAUAGUGGGGGUUGGCACCUCGAUGUUGGCUUAGGGAAUCUAUAUAAUGCAAAAGUUAUAUGAAGAUGGUUUGUUCAACCAAUAACACCCUACAUGAGCUGAGUUCAGACCGGCGUAAGCCAGGUUAGUUUCUAUCCUCAAAAUUUACAUCUAUUUAUAGUACGAAAGGAUCUAAAUAGGGUAAUAAUUACACUUAUAGAACUCAUAUAAUAUACUACUUAAUUAUUUUUAAUAUCCACAAUA
This 636-nucleotide ribosomal RNA is filed under the name Dendrobaena jastrebensis. RNAcentral's name for it is "partial 16S ribosomal RNA". It matches the Rfam family "Bacterial large subunit ribosomal RNA", at positions 1816 to 2836 of the family's 2925-position model. Lineage: Eukaryota; Metazoa; Annelida; Clitellata; Crassiclitellata; Lumbricidae. The record is from RNAcentral.